Perca fluviatilis (European perch) is the source of this 541-nucleotide long non-coding RNA. RefSeq lists it as uncharacterized. NCBI's taxonomy places the organism in Eukaryota, Metazoa, Chordata, Actinopteri, Perciformes, Percidae. The transcript has 3 exons. The record is from RefSeq and is a predicted model, not a curated record.
GACAAAAAUGUUCCUCUAUUUGUGACCAUUACAUUUAAUUACUAAGAAAAUUCAAAUAAAUGUUGGUUUAUUUUUUUAUUUUUUAUUUCUCUUUGUAUGUGUGUUUAAUAGUGUAUCCACCUUGUUUUGUUUUAAUAAUGGAUUAGCAAUUUGCGAUAUAAAACAUACUGUAUGUUAUUGCACAGAAAUUGGGCAAUGCAAUCCUCUCAUGUUUCUCACCAGACUGGACUGAACCAGGAAGUCUUACUUCACCUUCUGCCAACACUGAGGAAUGUAAUGUCUGUGGUUGAAAACUUGGUGGUGGCAAGUUUUGGGGGAACUCAGGGGCAUGGAAUCAGACAGUCCUGGAAAAAACACUCAACCAAUUUUAGAUUGAUGCCAGCUGGGUGCCUCAUCAGUAAGUCAUUUCCAUGAGGGACCAGGCCAUGGGAUAUCCCGUUUGGCAAAGCAGGUCACCCAGUGUCAUCGCAGAUUAACAAUCACUGCCUUCGUGCCAAAGAUAAAGCAAAUUUUAGAGCAUACCUGAACCACACCCAUGCAG